AAUAUUGGACAAUGGGGGCAACCCUGAUCCAGCCAUGCCGCGUGUGUGAAGAAGGUCUUCGGAUUGUAAAGCACUUUAAGUUGGGAGGAAGGGCUUUAGGUUAAUACCCUGAAGUUUUGACGUUACCAACUGAAUAAGCACCGGCUAACUCAGUUCCAGCAGCCGCGGUAAUACAGAGGGCGCAAGCGUUAAUCGGAAUUCCUGGGCGUAAAGCGGGCGUAGGUGGGUCAGUAAGAUGGGGGGGAAAUCCCCGGGCUUAACCUGGGAACUGCUUUCAUAACUGCUGAGCUAGAGUACGGUAGAGGGUAGUGGAAUUUCCUGUGUAGCGGUGAAAUGCGUAGAUAUAGGAAGGAACACCAGUGGCGAAGGCGACUACCUGGACUGAUACUGACACUGAGGUGCGAAAGCGUGGGGAGCAAA
This 420-nucleotide ribosomal RNA is filed under the name uncultured bacterium. RNAcentral's name for it is "partial 16S ribosomal RNA". It matches the Rfam family "Bacterial small subunit ribosomal RNA", at positions 360 to 772 of the family's 1533-position model. The record is from RNAcentral.